RNAcentral lists this ribosomal RNA (475 nucleotides) under uncultured bacterium. RNAcentral's name for it is "partial 16S ribosomal RNA". It matches the Rfam family "Bacterial small subunit ribosomal RNA", at positions 28 to 507 of the family's 1533-position model. The record is from RNAcentral.
GAUGAACGCUAGCGGCAGGCCUAACACAUGCAAGUCGAGGGAUAAGCCUUCGGGCUAAGACCGGCGCCCGGGUGCGUAACGCGUAUACAAUCUGCCUUUUAUCCUAGGUAUAGCCCGAAGAAAUUUGCGUCAAUACCCUAUGGUAUAAGAGCACGGCAUCGUGCACUUAUGAAAGCUACGGCGGUACAGUAUGAGUCUGCGUUCUAUUGGCUAGUUGGCGAGGUAACGGCUCCCCAAGGCGACGUGGCAUAGGAGUCCUGGGGGGGAAGUCCCCCACAAUGGUACCGCGAUACAGACCAGAAUCCUACGCGGCGCAGCAGUGUGGAAUAUUGGACACUGGUCGGAAGCGUGAUCCAGCCAUGCGGGGUGCAGGAGGCCGGCCUUCUGGGUUGUAAGCUACUUGUGUAAGGGAAGUAUAUGGAGUACGUGUCCUGUGAUGACGGUACCUAACGAAUAAGCCUCGGCUAACUCCGUG